UGUGUGGCGCACACAUUAAAUCUGAUCGUGAAGAAGGCUCUGGCAGAAAACACUGAGCUGUCUGAGAUCCGUCUUCAGUGUAGGAGGAUAGUUGGCUACUUCAAAAGCAGUACCACUGCAAAGACAAGGCUGACACAGGUGCAGGAGCAAAUGAUGCCUACAGAGCCUGUGCUGAAGCUCAUUCAAGAGGUGGAGACACGCUGGAACAGCACCUUCCACAUGUUGCAACG
Molecule: long non-coding RNA, 230 nt
Organism: Hippocampus comes (tiger tail seahorse)
Lineage: Eukaryota; Metazoa; Chordata; Actinopteri; Syngnathiformes; Syngnathidae
Exons: 3
Source: RefSeq, a predicted model, not a curated record